GACGAACGCUGGCGGCGCGCCUAACACAUGCAAGUCGAACGAGCGAGAGAGAGCUUGCUUUCUCGAGCGAGUGGCGAACGGGUGAGUAACGCGUGAGGAACCUGCCUCAAAGAGGGGGACAACAGUUGGAAACGACUGCUAAUACCGCAUAAGCCCACGGGUCGGCAUCGACCAGAGGGAAAAGGAGCAAUCCGCUUUGAGAUGGCCUCGCGUCCGAUUAGCUAGUUGGUGAGGUAACGGCCCACCAAGGCAACGAUCGGUAGCCGGACUGAGAGGUUGAACGGCCACAUUGGGACUGAGACACGGCCCAGACUCCUACGGGAGGCAGCAGUGGGGAAUAUUGCACAAUGGGGGAAACCCUGAUGCAGCGACGCCGCGUGGAGGAAGAAGGUCUUCGGAUUGUAAACUCCUGUUGUUGGGGAAGAUAAUGACGGUACCCAACAAGGAAGUGACGGCUAACUACGU
This 465-nucleotide ribosomal RNA is filed under the name uncultured bacterium. Its description in RNAcentral is "partial 16S ribosomal RNA". It matches the Rfam family "Bacterial small subunit ribosomal RNA", at positions 28 to 506 of the family's 1533-position model. The record is from RNAcentral.